UACAGUCUGUCUAUAAAGUCGUGACAUGAAUGUUUGAGGAACUAACAUUAUUCAUGUGUCUGGCAACACCAAAGAUCACCAAACAUAUGUACAUCAGCUGUCAUCGAGAACAAGUUGUGGAACGAUUUUCAUUUCGUGGUUUUUAUUGUUUGACUAAUCUCCUGUAAAUUAUUACUCAGCUACGAAGAAAAGUAUAAACAAUGAGUAAAGUAAAUUGGAGUGCCACGCGGAAAGUGAUUUUUAAAGUUUUCCAGCAAUGUUCCGCGGAGUACCAAGCUGGUCAAAUUUUGUGGGAUUUUGAUGUUUUUUAUGGGCGAACAGCAUCUUUGACGGGAAAAUCAGAGAGUACGGUUAAGCGCAUAGUCAAUGAAGGUUUUCAGAAUAAUGGAAAAUUUAGAACUCCUGGGAAACACAGGCAAGGCCGACCAAAGAAAGAAAUGGAUAAUUUUAAUAUUUGUGCUCUGCGCCAAAAAAUAUAAUUUUUUACACGGUACAAAAAGAGGUA
Ostrinia nubilalis (European corn borer) is the source of this 505-nucleotide long non-coding RNA. RefSeq lists it as uncharacterized. The record is from RefSeq and is a predicted model, not a curated record. The transcript has 2 exons. NCBI's taxonomy places the organism in Eukaryota, Metazoa, Arthropoda, Insecta, Lepidoptera, Crambidae.